This 74-nucleotide transfer RNA is filed under the name Saprospiraceae bacterium. RNAcentral describes it as "tRNA-Ala". It matches the Rfam family "tRNA". From Rfam's summary of the family: Transfer RNA (tRNA) molecules are approximately 80 nucleotides in length. Their secondary structure includes four short double-helical elements and three loops (D, anti-codon, and T loops). The record is from RNAcentral. Lineage: Bacteria; Pseudomonadati; Bacteroidota; Saprospiria; Saprospirales; Saprospiraceae.
GGGGAAUUAGCUCAGUUGGCUAGAGCGCUACGCUGGCAGCGUCGAGGCCACCGGUUCGAAUCCGGUAUUCUCCA